ACGCUGGCGGCGUGCCUAAAAACAUGCAAGUCGAACGAGACCUUUGGUCUAGUGGCGAACGGCGGAGUAAUACAUAAGCAACGUGCCCCGAAGACCGGGAUAGCCCCUCGAAAGAGGGAUUAAUACCGGAUGUGGCUGACAAGGGACAUCCCCUGUCAAUUAAAACGAGUAAUCGGCUUCGGGAGCGGCUUGUGGCCUAUUAGCUAGUUGGUGGGGUAACGGCCUACCAAGGCGACGAUCAGUAGCCGACCUGAGAGGGUGAUCGGCCACAUUGGAACUGAGACACAGUCCAAACUCCUACGGGAGGCAGCAGUGGGGAAUAUUGCACAAUGGGCGAAAGCCUGAUGCAGCAACGCCGCGUGAGGGAAGACGGCCUUCGGGUUGUAAACCUCUGUCCUCAGUGACGAAGAAAGUGACGGUAGCUGAGGAGGAAGCCACGGCUAACUACGUG
This 451-nucleotide ribosomal RNA is filed under the name uncultured bacterium. Its description in RNAcentral is "bacterial SSU rRNA". It matches the Rfam family "Bacterial small subunit ribosomal RNA", at positions 33 to 507 of the family's 1533-position model. The record is from RNAcentral.